GACGAACGCUGGCGGCGUGCUUAACACAUGCAAGUCGAACGAGACGAUUGAAAGCUUGCUUUUAAAAGUUGAGUGGCAAACGGGUGAGUAACGCGUAGACAACCUGCCUUUGAGAUGGGGACAACAGUUCGAAAGGACUGCUAAUACCGAAUGUUGUAUAUUUUCCACAUGGAAGAUAUAUUAAAGAUGGCCUCUAUUUAUAAGCUAUCGCUCAACGAUGGGUCUGCGUCUGAUUAGCUAGUUGGUGGGGUAACGGCCUACCAAGGCGACGAUCAGGAGCCGGUCUGAGAGGAUGAACGGCCAAAUUGGGACUGAGACACGGCCCAGACUCCUACGUGAGGCAGCAGUGGGGAAUCUUCCACAAUGGACGAAAGUCUGAUGGAGCAACGCCGCGUGAGUGAAGAAGGGUUUCGGCUCGUAAAGCUCUGUUGUCGGGGACGAAUGUGCAGUAUUUGAAUAAAGUACUGCAAUGACGGUACCUGACGAGGAAGCCACGGCUAACUACGUGCCAGCCGCCGCUGUAA
RNAcentral lists this ribosomal RNA (524 nucleotides) under uncultured bacterium. RNAcentral describes it as "partial 16S ribosomal RNA". It matches the Rfam family "Bacterial small subunit ribosomal RNA", at positions 28 to 523 of the family's 1533-position model. The record is from RNAcentral.